This 1276-nucleotide ribosomal RNA is filed under the name Eutrichosiphum pasaniae. Its description in RNAcentral is "16S ribosomal RNA". Lineage: Eukaryota; Metazoa; Arthropoda; Insecta; Hemiptera; Aphididae. The record is from RNAcentral.
AAUUGAUUUUAUUAAUAUUAUAUAUUUUAUUUAUAUUUGAAGAUUUAUAAAAAUAAUUUAUAUUUUUAAUUGUUUAAGUAUUUAGUAUGAAAUAAUUUUUUGAUUUAUAGUUAAAUAGUAUUGUGAAAGAAAUUAAUUAAAUUUAAAAAAGAAUAUUUUAUUUAGUACCUUUUGUAUCAGGGUUAAUUAAAAUUUUUAAUUUAUUUUUAAUUUCUCAAAAUUUAUAGAGUUAAUUUUAUUAUUAAGUUAUUGUUGUAUAAAUAUUUAUAAAAUAAUUUUAGUUUAGAAAUUUAAUUCGUUAUAAUAUAUUUAGUUAUUUAAGAUAUAAAUUUAAUUUAAAAUUUUAAAAGUUUUAUUAAUUUUUUUUAAUUAAAUUUUAAAUUUAAAUUAUUUUAGGGAUAAGCUUGAAAUAUUUUAUAUAAUAAAUUUUAUUAAAUUAAUAAAUUUUAGGAUUAGAAAUUUUUAUUUUAAGUUUGUAAAAAUUUAUUAUUUAUUAAAGUUUUAAUUUAUUAUAAGAUUUAUUUAUUAUUUUUAUUAAAUUUUAUAAAAUAAUAAUUUAUUUAUAGUAAUAAUGAUUAAAUUAGUAUAAUUGUAAUUUAUAAAUUAUGAAUUCGGCAAAUUUUAUUUUCAUCUGUUUAACAAAAACAUUGUAUUAAGUUUAAUUUAAUAUAGGAUCUGCUCAAUGAUUAAAUUAAAUAGCUGCAGUAUUUUAACUGUGCAAAGGUAGCAUAAUAAUUAGUCUUUUAAUUGAGGACUUGAAUGAAAGAUUUGAUGAAAAAUAAACUUUAUUAUUUAUAUUGUUAAAAUUUUAUUUUUAAGUAAAAAAGCUUAAAUUAUUUUAAGGGACGAUAAGACCCUAUAAAACUUUAUAAAUUUAUUAUUUUAAAUUUUUGGUUAAUAAAUAUUUAAAAUUUAAAAAUUUAUUUUAUUGGGGUGAUAAAAAAAAAUUUUUAACUUUUUUUAAAAUUAAACAUUAAUUUAUGAAUAUUUGAAUUAAAAUUUUUAAUUAAAGGAUAAAGUUACUUUAGGGAUAACAGCGUAAUUAAUUUUUAAAGUUCAAAUUUUAAAAUUAGUUUGCGACCUCGAUGUUGAAUUAAGAUUAAUCUUAGGUGCAAAAUUUUAAGUGUUAGGUCUGUUCGACCUUUAAAUUCUUACAUGAUUUGAGUUCAAACCGGUGUGAGCCAGGUUGGUUUCUAUCUUUAAAUAUUUAUUUUAUUUUAGUACGAAAGGAUUAAAUAAAAAAAUUAAAUUUUUAUUUAAAAAUAUAAUUAUUUUA